This is a long non-coding RNA of Bubalus bubalis (water buffalo), 2824 nucleotides long. RefSeq lists it as uncharacterized. NCBI's taxonomy places the organism in Eukaryota, Metazoa, Chordata, Mammalia, Artiodactyla, Bovidae. The record is from RefSeq and is a predicted model, not a curated record. The transcript has 5 exons.
AGCAAGAGGAGUUUCCUUUCUUUCUUUUUGUAAUACCCACUAUUCUAAGAGUGCCAGGCAUCCCUUCAGACUCUACUUGACUCCUUUCACCCUCAAUGAUUUACUUUAAAUCUCUUAAAUAGGUUCAGUGCCAUCUGGCUACUCUCCCUCCCACUCCGAUUUUCACUUCUCUUUCAAUUAAGAGCAAAGACAUCAGUAUUGUUGCUACAGGAAAAGGAAGGGCAGAGAUAAGGGCAGAAUGAACUUAUUUGUUCAAUAUGCUAGUAAAUAUGGUAUUUUCAUUAUGCUGAGUUAGUUUUGGCUUGGAUUUGUCAAACACAGUCUCUUGCAGUGACAGAAGUCAAACUGAAAUAGCAUUUUAAAAAGACAAAAGUGAAGGCUGGUCCUUAAGUAUACUAGGAUGCUUCAGAAGAUAAGAGCCUUUGAAACAAGCACACCUGCUGAGACUGGAUAUAAAUGUAUCUCUCUGUUCCUCACCCCAAAUUUCCAAACUCAUUUUUAUUGCUCCCCUUCACUCCACUGUUUUUCUCAAUUUUUUCCAAAAGGCAGAAGACACUUCCUCAGCCACCCUAGUCUCACUCACACCCUCAUAAAAAGAAGUAUGUGCAAGCUGCUGAAAAUCUCAGAAAACAUUGGCUCAGCUCAGGCCACUUCCCCACUUUUGGACCAAUCACUAUAGUCCAGGAGAGCAGUUAUAUUGGCUGUGUUGUUUAGUCACGAAGUCCUGUCCGCCUCUUUUGAGACCCCAGGGACUGAAGGCCCACCCAGGGCGAUGGUUGUGCAAAAAUCAGGCCAGAGGAUGCCUAACUUGUAGCUGCCAAGUUGUUUGCCAGCCCUUGUAUCAGAGCCUCCUUACCAGUCAGGAAGACACAACAGACUUUUGCCUACCUGCUGUCCUACCUACCUUCAAAACAGAAACAGCAGAAAAACAACAGUUCUUAACAAUGAUUGAGGGAAGUAUUCACAGGCUAUUUUAGCUACUUGACUAGUGGGAUAGGGUAAGAUUAGUGUUCUGAUUGGUUGAUGUCGGGCAGGCAUUGGAUAAUCAGAGUCAAAUUGGCAGGCCUACUUAUGUUUGUGCUGCUUUGUGCUUAGUCGCUCAGUCGUGUCUGACUCUGCGACCCCAUGGACUGUAGCCUGCCAGGCUCCUGUGUCUAUGAGGAUUCUCCGGGCAAGAAUACUGGACUGGGUUGCCAUGCCCUCCUCCAGGGACUUUUACCUAUAUUCUGCUAUAAUCAUUCCUCCAAUCAGAUCCGGUUGUUUGAAAACUUUAUUUGAAUAUGUGUGUGUUACUUCACUUCAGUCGCGGGAGACCUGGGUUCGAUCCUUGUGUUGGAAGAUCCCCUAGAGAAGGGAAUGGAUACACACCCCGCAUUCAGACCUGGAGAAUUCCAUGGACAGAGGAGCCUGGCAGGCUACAGCCCAUGGGGUCACAAAAAGUCGGACACCACUGAGCGACUUUCACUUUCACUUAAACCAAGUUUGCUUCAAGUCCAGCUGUUAUAGUGAGGUCAAGUCUUCUGCGCAACACCGGAAGUUGUAGAAUUAGGUGCCUCUAGUACGCCUCGAGGACUGUAAGGCUGUUGGGCUGUUUCACUAAGAGCCAGAGGCUUUCUUUAUUCAGAGCCACUUGAAGUUCUUUUGUCAAAGGAAUGUUUCUUGUUUACUGACCUUCUAGGACACCAGCUGGAAAUUGAUUUACAGGAGCCUAGGUGUUGCCUCUGAGCCAUCCCAAGAGUGCCUUCUACAUUUCAGGGAAUCGCCAAAAGAGCUAUUAUUACAGGAUAAAACAUUCCUGCAAAGCUUUGAAGACUUGAAUAAAACCAGCUGGUGGAUUAAGAUGCCAGAAGGAAUAAGUAGUUACCAGCUGGGGCCUCUUGGGCAUAAAGUCCUCUCCAACCUGUGAUGCUUCUGGGUGCACGUCACCAUGCCUGCCAAGGCUUAUGCUCAGGGAAAAUGGGGAUAUCCAUUUAGAGAAAGGGCUCUGCACUACCUCAUCCAUGACGGCCACCUCAUCAGCAAGAAGAACCAAUACAGUGGCUCCAUCACACAAGGAUUGGCCAUGCUGCACUCCCGGCCCAGAGCCCAGGACCUGGACUGUGCUGAGAGCAGGUGGCAGAGCUGUUGGGCACGCAGAGCAUCUGGAUGCCCAGUUUACUCUGGACACCUUCCACAUGUGGAAGAAAAGCCAAGUCUCUUCUUCCAGCCCCACAGACUAGCCAGCAGGGGUCCCUGUGCCUAUGUGGUGCUGCCCUUCUGCCUUGCUGGCUUCCCUGCUCACUCGUCCUGGGCUGUGGGCCUGAAAAGUCAGGGGGAGAGACUACCUGCACCGUGUUUUUUUGUUUUUGUUUUUGUUUUUUAAGAAACUAUAUACAUUUGCAACCUUUUCUCCAGGUCUUCAUAAAAAGCACGUUAUGAAACAACCUAGGUUGAACAGCUUUGAUGCCCCCUCCCCUGCCCCCAGUUGUCUGGACCUAAUCACAAAGAGGGGUGAGGCUAAGCCUUGCUGGGUGGAGGUGGGGGCGAAAUCAAAGGCUGGCUCCUCUGAUUGCUGCCCGCAUGCAUCAAAUGGGCCAGCCACUUCCUUGACUUUCCUGGGGAGGGAGUGUUAAGCUAAUUAAUGCUCCUUCUCUACAGGUGACUGGCAUUAAAGCUGUGUAAGUGCUUUUACCAGACUGACUGCUCUGGGCUCCUGGGGCUCCUGAUUGUAGUAAAAUAACCCCUUUUCUGGAGUGGGGCCUUGCUCCCUCCACCUCUCCACAGGAUGAUCUCACCACAGAGGGAAUGCUGGAGGAUCCUGGGCUCUCUCACUCAGUUAAUUCCA